Molecule: ribosomal RNA, 648 nt
Filed under: Cadophora malorum
Lineage: Eukaryota; Fungi; Ascomycota; Leotiomycetes; Helotiales; Ploettnerulaceae
Description: eukaryotic LSU rRNA
Rfam family: Eukaryotic large subunit ribosomal RNA
Source: RNAcentral
UACAGGUUGACCUCGGAUCAGGUAGGGAUACCCGCUGAACUUAAGCAUAUCAAUAAGCGGAGGAAAAGAAACCAACAGGGAUUACCUCAGUAACGGCGAGUGAAGCGGUAACAGCUCAAAUUUGAAAGCUAGCUCUUUUAGGGUUCGCAUUGUAAUUUGUAGAAGAUGCUUCGGGUGUGGCCCCGGUCUAAGUUCCUUGGAACAGGACGUCAUAGAGGGUGAGAAUCCCGUAUGUGACUGGGUGCUUUCGCUCAUGUGAAGCUCUUUCGACGAGUCGAGUUGUUUGGGAAUGCAGCUCAAAAUGGGUGGUAAAUUUCAUCUAAAGCUAAAUAUUGGCCAGAGACCGAUAGCGCACAAGUAGAGUGAUCGAAAGAUGAAAAGCACUUUGGAAAGAGAGUUAAACAGUACGUGAAAUUGUUGAAAGGGAAGCGCUUGCAACCAGACUUGCGCGCUGAUGAUCAUCCGGGCUUCUGCCCGGUGCACUCGUCUGCGCUCAGGCCAGCAUCGGUUUCGGUGGUGGGAUAAAGGCCUUGGGAAUGUAGCUCCUCUCGGGGAGUGUUAUAGCCCUCGGUGCAAUGCCGCCUACCGGGACCGAGGACCGCGCUUCGGCUAGGAUGCUGGCGUAAUGGUUGUAAGCGACCCGUCUUG